This 63-nucleotide transfer RNA is filed under the name Dipodomys ordii (Ord's kangaroo rat). It matches the Rfam family "tRNA". Rfam says of the family: Transfer RNA (tRNA) molecules are approximately 80 nucleotides in length. Their secondary structure includes four short double-helical elements and three loops (D, anti-codon, and T loops). Further hydrogen bonds mediate the characteristic L-shaped molecular structure. tRNAs have two regions of fundamental functional importance: the anti-codon, which is responsible for specific mRNA codon recognition, and the 3' end, to which the tRNAs corresponding amino acid is attached (by aminoacyl-tRNA synthetases). tRNAs cope with the degeneracy of the genetic code in two manners: having more than one tRNA (with a specific anti-codon) for a particular amino acid; and 'wobble' base-pairing, i.e. permitting non-standard base-pairing at the 3rd anti-codon position. Lineage: Eukaryota; Metazoa; Chordata; Mammalia; Rodentia; Heteromyidae. The record is from Rfam by way of RNAcentral.
GGGGACAUGGCUCAGUGGUAGAGCACCUGUCUAAUGAACAGAAGUUUAAGAACAGUGCUCCUA